Molecule: ribosomal RNA, 497 nt
Filed under: uncultured bacterium
Lineage: Bacteria
Description: partial 16S ribosomal RNA
Rfam family: Bacterial small subunit ribosomal RNA
Source: RNAcentral
GAUGAACGCUGGCGGCGUGCCUAAUACAUGCAAGUCGAGCGAACGGACGAGAAGCUUGCUUCUCUGAUGUUAGCGGCGGACGGGUGAGUAACACGUGGAUAACCUACCUAUAAGACUGGGAUAACUUCGGGAAACCGUAGCUAAUACCGGAUAAUAUUUUGAACCGCAUGGUUCAAAAGUGAAAGACGGUCUUGCUGUCACGUAUAGAUGGAUCCGCGCUGCAUUAGCUAGUUGGUAAGGUAACGGCUUACCAAGGCAACGAUGCAUAGCCGAACUGAGAGGGUGAUCGGCCACCCUGGAAGUGAGACACGGUCAAGACUCCUACGGGAGGCAGCAGUAGGGAAUCUUCCGCAAUGGGCGAAAGCCUGACGGAGCAACGCCGAGUGAGUGAUGAAGGCCUUCGGAUCGUAAAAAUCUGUUAUUAGGGAAGAACAUAUGUGUAAGUAACUGUGCACAUCUUGACGGUACCUAAUCAGAAAGCCACGGCUAACUACGUG